UACGUAGGGGGCAAGCGUUGUCCGGAUUUACUGGGCGUAAAGGGCGCGUAGGCGGUCAGCACAAGUCAGUUGUGAAAUCUCCGGGCUUAACUCGGAAAGGUCAACUGAUACUGUGCGACUAGAGUGCAGAAGGGGCAACUGGAAUUCUCGGUGUAGCGGUGAAAUGCGUAGAUAUCGAGAGGAACACCUGCGGCGAAGGCGGGUUGCUGGGCUGACACUGACGCUGAUGCGCGAAAGCCAGGGGAGCGAACGGG
This 254-nucleotide ribosomal RNA is filed under the name uncultured bacterium. RNAcentral's name for it is "partial 16S ribosomal RNA". It matches the Rfam family "Bacterial small subunit ribosomal RNA", at positions 524 to 776 of the family's 1533-position model. The record is from RNAcentral.